RNAcentral lists this ribosomal RNA (241 nucleotides) under uncultured bacterium. RNAcentral describes it as "partial 16S ribosomal RNA". It matches the Rfam family "Bacterial small subunit ribosomal RNA", at positions 118 to 347 of the family's 1533-position model. The record is from RNAcentral.
UGGGUAACCUGCCUCAAAGAGGGGAAUAGCCUCCCGAAAGGGAGAUUAAUACCGCAUAAUAUGUUUAAGUCGCAUGACUUUAACAUCAAAGGAUUUUCUUUUAGAAAUUCCACUUUGAGAUGGACCCGCGGCGCAUUAGCUAGUUGGUGAGGUAACGGCUCACCAAGGCAACGAUGCGUAGCCGACCUGAGAGGGUGAUCGGCCACAUUGGAACUGAGACACGGCCCAGACUCCUAGGGAG